Molecule: long non-coding RNA, 1467 nt
Organism: Triticum dicoccoides
Lineage: Eukaryota; Viridiplantae; Streptophyta; Magnoliopsida; Poales; Poaceae
Exons: 4
Source: RefSeq, a predicted model, not a curated record
UGCUUGUGGCCGGUGCAUGACAGAGCAAGCUUCAGGCAGAGAUCAAAUGCGUCUACCGAGUAUUCGCCCUUGAGCCUAGGAUCGGCAAAUUCCAACACAUUUCCCUCUCUGAUGAGCAUAGAAGCCUGAGAGCAAAAGGAGCUGCAGGAGCACCAUACCAAAGCUGUAUACAUCCCCUGCAGCAUUCACCCUGUGGUUGUGGCGGUACUCUGGGUCGACGUAGCCAAAAGUUCCUCUAACUUCAGAGCUCACGUGGGAUACGCCUAUGUCGAUGACUCUCGACAGUCCAAAGUCCGCGAGUUUGGGCUCCAUAUCAACCCCAAGAACCCUCAGGGAAUAUGUGAAGGAACCAAAGGCCGCAAGCACUGCCAAGUGCGAUCUGAAGCCUCUGAGUCCAUGACAGGCUCUUAUCCUUCCCUGUCAUCAAAUUGUUACUUUUAAUCAUAGAGAACAUUGCAUAAUACAUCCUGUAGUCUCCUCAAAUAUGUACUUACCAAAUAGCCAUUCUGAUAGGUUACCAUUGACGCAUAGCUCAUACACAAGAAAACACUCUUCCUGCCCAUCACAGUAACCUCUUAAUGACACAAGGUUUGGAUGCUUGACAUGUGAGAGGCUUGUAACUUCCCUUACGAAGGUUUCUGCAUGUUCAUUCUUAAUUAUGUGCUUCACGGCAACAGGCCAGCCAUUUGCAAGCAUUCCUUUGUACACUUUCCCUGCAAAUCACAUCAGGAAGGUGCAUCCAACUCUUAGAACAACAACAACCUACUGAAUGUGGUUAUUACCUUCUACUUCUCAUGUUAUAUGUAUAUCACAGUUCUGCUCCCUGUGGUCCUAUCUGGUUCAUGUACAAAUAAAUUUGUCCUGAAUCGGCUAGUAUUGUCAUAUGUACCUGCAAUUCCCUGCCCGAUGAUAUUUGAAAGGUGUAAGUUUUCAGUUGCAGCGUAUAUCUCUUUGACUGACAUCUGCUUGCAGGUAACCUCCUCAUACUCAACAGACGCUGUACCAACCUCUGCAAUAUAAAGAUGAACAAUUGCAUAGCGUUAGUACCAAUAGAUGACAACAAACCCGAUGAUCACCGCCGCGACGAGGCACCCAAGCAGUACUUCAUAUCCUGCAUACUCUCAGAAGGCAAUGAAUUUCAAGGCACGGGUAGAAAGGAAGGGGAAAAGGCAGGUAAGGUAGACAUACCUGUAUGCAUCUAGCUGUGGAACGUCUGGGAAGAACACAAGGUUGCCUUUUCUUUCACUGUGAAGGUUCCAACCGAACCAAAUUAAUAUCAUGGCCACUCGCUAACCAGUCGUUAUUAGCAAUGAUGAAUAGCCGUUGCCGGCCAAGGGCUAGAACGGAAGAAGCCAAAGCACGGAAAAAUAUUGGAUCAAGGAAUCGGGCCGGGUCCGUACCAGAAUACAGCAUCAACUGAGUUCUCAUGUUACGUCACUGGUUUACAUAAUCUAAUCGAUUUUGUCA